This 437-nucleotide ribosomal RNA is filed under the name Erwinia sp. R10.24. RNAcentral describes it as "bacterial SSU rRNA". It matches the Rfam family "Bacterial small subunit ribosomal RNA", at positions 73 to 510 of the family's 1533-position model. The record is from RNAcentral. Lineage: Bacteria; Pseudomonadati; Pseudomonadota; Gammaproteobacteria; Enterobacterales; Erwiniaceae.
UUGCUCUUCGGGUGACGAGUGGCGGACGGGUGAGUAAUGCCUGGGAAACUGCCCGAUGGAGGGGGAUAACUACUGGAAACGGUAGCUAAUACCGCAUAACGUCUUCGGACCAAAGUGGGGGACCUUAGGGCCUCACACCAUCGGAUGUGCCCAGGUGGGAUUAGCUAGUAGGUGGGGUAAUGGCUCACCUAGGCGACGAUCCCUAGCUGGUCUGAGAGGAUGACCAGCCACACUGGAACUGAGACACGGUCCAGACUCCUACGGGAGGCAGCAGUGGGGAAUAUUGCACAAUGGGCGCAAGCCUGAUGCAGCCAUGCCGCGUGUAUGAAGAAGGCCUUCGGGUUGUAAAGUACUUUCAGUGGGGAGGAAGGCGAUGAGGUUAAUAACCUUGUCGAUUGACGUUACCCGCAGAAGAAGCACCGGCUAACUCCGUGCCA